Molecule: ribosomal RNA, 253 nt
Filed under: uncultured bacterium
Lineage: Bacteria
Description: partial 16S ribosomal RNA
Rfam family: Bacterial small subunit ribosomal RNA
Source: RNAcentral
UACGAAGGGGGCUAGCGUUGCUCGGAAUCACUGGGCUUAAAGCGUGUGUAGGCGGAUCGUUAAGUGCCUUGUGAAAUCCCACGGCUUAACUGUGGAACGGCUGGGCAUACUGGCGGUCUUGAGCCAUCUAGGGGCGACUGGAACAAACGGUGGAGCGGUGAAAUGCGUAGAUAUCGGGAGGAAUACCAGUGGCGAAGGCGGCUGCCUGGCCUGUUCUUGACGCUGAGGCGCGAAAGCUGGGGGAGCAAACGGG